CGCGCCCUCGCGAGCGUGCACAAGGCGCCGUACGCGGUGACAGGAGCAAAAAGGACAGCCUCCAGGAGCUCCGGCCAAUGGCCCGUCGACACGGCGUUGCUGCUCUUCUGCCGGACCUGUGGUCGGCGGAGGGGCCAAGCAUAAAACGCGGCGAAACGCCGAAGCCUGCCUCUCUAGUUGGAGGUAGCGGCCGGGAGGCAGCCAAAUGGCGACGCUCGCCUCCACUCCCUUCGUUCGUCCAGGCGUCGCCGGCUAUGUGGCAUGCAUCCGCGGCUGGUGACCUCGUGUGCCGCCAUUGCCGGAGGCUGGCUGGGCGUCCGCGGCGCCGGUGUUACAUCUCAGGGAAAUGUGUGCAUGCCAAGAUUCCUGCGGUUCCGGACUGAUUGGUGAGAUUACAGUUAUAAGGCAGCCUGCAAUACAAACAGGCUUACUAAUGCCCUGGAAUAAGCUACACAAUACUCAGAAAAAUGACAACAGAACCAACUUGUCGCUGUCUUAUGGUAAACAUCAAUGGUAGCCUGAUUCUUGUAUAGCCAGAACAUCUUUGACUUCACAUCACAGGACAGUUCAUCCAAGUACAGUUCUACACAAUACAGGUCUAUAGCACAGUAGCACAUCUACCUUUAUUGCUGAAUUUAGAAAAUGUACUAGCAGCUUACUUCCUCUGAGUUGUGCUGAAACAGUGAAACUAUCAAACACAGCCACAUGUAUUGUGAAUUAGCCAGUGAGUUCUUUUUUCAAUGUAUUUUACCUAUCAUUUACCAAGAUAUAGGAACUGACACGUUCAGGACCAUUAAGAGUCUAGAUGCAACUACAUCAUUGAACUGUCUGUUGUGCUUGAGAAUAGUCAAUCCAAAUGAAAAAUAUAUGCCGUACACCAUCAGGUAGGAGAUUUUUUUGGUAAGGAACCAUGGAUUGCUUAUGUCUAGUUGGAGUGUCAAGAGCGAGACUGGAGCAACUAAGAUCAUGCUAAAACUGUGAACUGCCUAAUUAAUGAAAAUGGCUGAAAACAGAGCAUUUUCUGAUGGUGCA
Long non-coding RNA from Triticum aestivum (bread wheat), 1032 nucleotides. RefSeq lists it as uncharacterized. The record is from RefSeq and is a predicted model, not a curated record. The transcript has 4 exons. Lineage: Eukaryota; Viridiplantae; Streptophyta; Magnoliopsida; Poales; Poaceae.